This 450-nucleotide ribosomal RNA is filed under the name uncultured bacterium. RNAcentral's name for it is "partial 16S ribosomal RNA". It matches the Rfam family "Bacterial small subunit ribosomal RNA", at positions 354 to 796 of the family's 1533-position model. The record is from RNAcentral.
GUGGGGAAUAUUGGACAAUGGGCGAAAGCCUGAUCCAGCAAUGCCGCGUGAGUGAAGAAGGCCUUCGGGUUGUAAACUGCUUUUGUACGGAACGAAACGGUCCGGGUUAAUACCCUGGGCUAAUGACGGUACCGUAAGAAUAAGCACCGGCUAACUACGUGCCAGCAGCCGCGGUAAUACGUAGGGUGCAAGCGUUAAUCGGAAUUACUGGACGUAAAGCGUGCGCAGGCGGUUUUGUAAGACAGGCGUGAAAGCCCCGGGCUCAACCUGGGAAUUGCGCUUGUAACUGCAAGGCUGGAGUGCGGCAGAGGGGGAUGGAAUUCCGCGUGUAGCAGUGAAAUGCGUAGAUAUGCGGAGGAACACCGAUGGCGAAGGCAAUCCCCUGGGCCUGCACUGACGCUCAUGCACGAAAGCGUGGGGAGCAAACAGGAUUAGAAACCCUGGUAGUCC